RNAcentral lists this small RNA (2009 nucleotides) under Pan troglodytes (chimpanzee). RNAcentral's name for it is "retained intron". The record is from RNAcentral. Lineage: Eukaryota; Metazoa; Chordata; Mammalia; Primates; Hominidae.
GAACUUGCGGCUGUCAAGCUCCCGGCCGGGCUGACUCAAGCGGAGGCGCGCGGAACAGUCGCCGAGGCGAUUCCCGCCCAGGCUCCUGUAACCGCCAGGCAGCGGCCCCACCAUGUCCCAGCCCCGGACCCCAGAGCAGGCACUGGAUACGCCGGGGGACUGCCCCCCAGGCAGGAGAGACGAGGACGCUGGGGAGGGGAUCCAGUGCUCCCAACGCAUGCUCAGCUUCAGUGAUGCCCUGCUGUCCAUCAUCGCCACCGUCAUGAUCCUGCCUGUGACCCACACGGAGAUCUCCCCAGAACAGGUAACGGGGCAGGCUGUGCUCUGCGUGGUGUGGCCCUGAGAAGAUAUAGGGUACCCGAGGCCCGACCUGGCACAGGGGGCUGACCCUGCACGCCUCGAAGCUUCUGAGGCUUAGGAGGCAGAGGCGGGAGGCAGGGGCCUCCUUGGAAAGGGAGGGAGCCAACAAGUCCUGCUCAGCCUGUGCUCACCCCGGCGGAGGUCCUGGCCUCCUGGGAGGGUGGGAGACUGGGCUCCUAGGGCUCUGUUUCCGAGUUCAGUGGACAAAGGCAGCACCCUGGAAGUGAGCCAGAGGACAGGUUGGAAGAGGAAGGUUCCGGGCCUGCCCCAAGGACAGAAGUUUCCUCUGCGGGAGGGCAGCUGCCCCAGCAGGCAGGCCCCUUACGUAGCUGCUCUGAGUAAACGGGGCCAGCGCCCCGUCUCAGCAGGGACACUCCUACCCCGGCUGCUCCUGCAGGCCUGGAGCAGUUCGACAGAAGUGUACAGAGGCUUCUGGCAACACGGAUUGCCGUCUACCUGAUGACCUUUCUCAUCGUGACAGUGGCCUGGGCAGCACACACAAGGUUGUUCCAAGUUGUUGGGAAAACAGACGACACACUUGCCCUGCUCAACCUGGCCUGCAUGAUGACCAUCACCUUCCUGCCUUACACGUUUUCGUUAAUGGUGACCUUCCCUGAUGUGCCUCUGGGCAUCUUCUUGUUCUGUGUGUGUGUGAUCGCCAUCGGGGUCGUGCAGGCACUGAUUGUGGGGUACGCAUUCCACUUCCCGCACCUGCUGAGCCCGCAGAUCCGGCGCUCUGCCCACAGGGCUCUGUACCGACGACACGUCCUGGGCAUCGUCCUCCAAGGCCCAGCCCUGUGCUUUGCAGCGGCCAUCUUCGCUCUCUUCUUUGUCCCUUUGUCUUACCUGCUGAUGGUGACUGUCAUCCUCCUCCCCUAUGUCAGCAAGGUCACCGGCUGGUGCAGAGACAGGCUCCUGGGCCGCAGGGAGCCCUCGGCUCACCCAGUGGAAGUCUUCUCGUUUGACCUCCACGAGCCACUCAGCAAGGAGCGCGUGGAAGCCUUCAGCGACGGAGUCUACGCCAUCGUGGCCACGCUUCUCAUCCUGGACAUCUGUGCCCCCCAUCGCUUCGCAGCCCCUCCCGCUCCCUUUGGCUGGCUGUUGCUUCCUUCCAGCGUCUGCUCCUCCGCUGCCUCAUCUGCCUCUUCGUCUGUUAGAGCGCGCGUCUCGUCUCAGUUGUCACGUUUUUGGUUUUUGUGGGUUUUUUUUUUUUUUUUUUGAGACAGUCCUGCUGUGUCACCCAGGCUGGAGUACAGUGGCUCAACCUCAGCUCACUGCAACCUCUGCCUCCCAGGUUCAAGCAAUUCUCCUGCCUCAGCCUCCCAAGUAGUUGGGAUUACAAGCACCCACCACCAUGCCCAGCUAACUUUUUGUAUUUUUAAUAGAGAUGGGGUUUCACCAAGUUGGCCAGGCUGGUCUUGAACUCCUGACCUCAGGUGAUCUGCCCACCUCGGCCUCCCAAAGUGCUGGGAUUGCAGGUGUAAGCCACCGUGCCCGGCCAUCGUAAUGUUUGAAUUUGCUUUUUUACAUCUUCCAUCCUUUUGGAGUGUCUUAUUCCCUCGUCAUAGUUCAGCACUGUGACCACUUUGGGGUUAGACACUAUGGUUUUAUAUCCUGUACUUGAUAUUCUCGAGUCCAAGUCUCCUGAU